This 2275-nucleotide long non-coding RNA is filed under the name Marmota monax (woodchuck). Lineage: Eukaryota; Metazoa; Chordata; Mammalia; Rodentia; Sciuridae. The record is from RNAcentral.
GGCAGGAGCAGGAGGAGGGGCUUUGUCACAGCUGCAAGGUGACCUUCUUCAGGAACUGCCCCGUCCCUCUCCAGUGAAGUGGAAAUCCCCCUUCUCUGUGUCCCUAGGACCCCUGUGGACUGCAGUCACAAGCCUGGCACGGCUGUGGCCCAGGAGGGGAUCUCAGCCCUGAUACCCGCUCCCUGGCACAGAGAAGAGCAGCAGCAGGCACCCCCAUGUGGAGUUAAGUGGUCAGCAAGGUCCAGACCAAGGCCGGCUGCCCUUGGCCACCCUGGGCACCGUGAAGUGGAGCCUCCCUGGAGGUGGGGUUGCACGGGGUGGCCUGACAGGCUGCCUCCUCCCUCCCGCCUGACCCCUGGGCCUCUCUGCCCUGCAGGCAGACCCUCCUGGGGUGGCCUUCCCUGUCCUUCCUGCCGUCCACAGGCUGCUCUCCUCUCCUGCGGGGCAAGGCUGUGGGCUCUCAAUCCCUCCAGUCCCCAGGCCCAGCACCCUAGUUCUCCGCAGGUGUGGGCCUCGUCCUCCCACACACCUGGGGGGAGCUGGCGCUGCCCUCCUGCCCUGCUGUGUCUGGUGGGGUCCUAGGAGGCAGGCCUUCCGUCCCACCAGGAGGGCAGUGAGUCUCCACCCAGGGCGGCUGGUCACUGAAUGACCCCACAUACACACUCAGGUGGUGCCCAGAGGGUGGGUUUCUUGCUUGUUUUCUUCCCGUUUAUUCCCAGAACCUGAGGGUGAGUGGCUGGAUGUCAGAUGUGUGGACUGCUACCUGGGUGGUGGGCGGGUGGGUGGAUAGGUGGCUGUUUGGAGGGUGCUAUGGUUUAGAUAUGGGGUGUCCCCCAAAAGCUCGUGUGUGAGGCAGUGCCAGGUUUAGAGGUGACAUGAUUGAAUAAUGGGAGUCCUAAGCCAGUCAGUGAAUUAAUCCCCUGAUAGGGAUUAACUUGGUGAUAACUGCAGGCAGGUAGCGUGUGGCAAAGGAUGGAGGGUCCCUGGGGGAGAGCCUUUGGGGGGCUGUUUUGUCUCUGAAGAGUGGAGCUGUCGGUCUCUGCCUCCUCGUGGGGUGUCAUGAGCCACUUUCCUCCGCCACACCCUUCCACCUUGAUGCUCUGCCUCACCUCGAGCCCCAGGCACGGAGCUGGCCGUCUGUGACUGAGACCCCUGGAACCGCAGCACCAAGCGGACUUUUCCUCCUUAAAAUUGUUCUUAUCAGGUCCUUGGUCACAGCAGCGAAAGAGCUGACUAAAACAGACGAUGGUAGAUGCACUGGGGCUGGAAGGACUAAGGAAGGGUGGACAGAGAGAUGGUUGAUGGACGGGUGGGUGGCUGGAGGGGUGCUUUUAUGCCACCCCGUUCACUGGAAUGAUGGUGAGACCAAGGCCUAGUGGGAGAUGCAGUUUGUUGCAGGCGUACCGGGGACAGAGCUGGCGCAGAACCCCAAGUCCCUGACCUCUGUGUCCGUGUGCGACAAGCAGGUCUGUUCACGUCUGCUGACCAGGCUGGAGCUCUGGGCCGGGAUGCCCCUCACAUUCCAUUCACUGACUGUGGGAAGCUCCCCCAGCUGUCACUCUCUGGCCACGUGGAAGGUGACACCUGCCUCUCAGGCCACACAGAACAAGUACAUUGAGCUCCUGGAAUGGGCGGGCUGCUGACCACAGUGCCUGCCCCCGCUGGACACUCUCUCAGGGUCCCCAGAGGAUCGGAGUGCCCCCUGCAGUGCUGCACGUGCUGACGCAGCAAGACCCCAGACAGAGCCCCUCCAGGGCCAACCCGGACCUCCCCCACACCAGGAAGGGCUCGGUCCCCAGUUCCUGGGGGCAGGAAGCCCAGGGGCACUGCCUGGAUCCAGCGAGGCUUCUGCCUCUCGGUUUUGCACCACCUCCUGCUUCUCCAACCCCUGCUGAGCUUCACGGUGGCCUGGGUCACAGCCAGCACCUGCUCUCCUCGCCCUGCAGCGGCAGAGUCUCCCUGGGCGGGUCCCUGAGGCCAAGCCACUGACCUCACCCUACAGAGGGCACAGCAGUGCAUCAGGAGGCCCUUCCAAGGCCCCCCCGGGUGGGGGCUCCAGUCACCCCUGAGGCUCAAGCUGAGUCCAGUCGGUGUGACAGGCAGGCCAGGGCUUCCCUGCUGUGGCCUCUGCCCAGUGCCGGCCUCUGGCGCAACAGUGGACUCUGUGACCCACCUCGGCUGCCUGUGGGGUGGCAUUGGACUCCCUGCAAAUGAGCCAUCGCAGGAACAGCUGGUCUGGGCUCCAGGGUUUUUAUGGGUUUGCCUUAAAGAUUUU